Long non-coding RNA from Acinonyx jubatus (cheetah), 3078 nucleotides. RefSeq lists it as uncharacterized. The record is from RefSeq and is a predicted model, not a curated record. NCBI's taxonomy places the organism in Eukaryota, Metazoa, Chordata, Mammalia, Carnivora, Felidae. The transcript is spliced from 4 exons.
GGGGCGCUUCCCUCCUGGCGUCCUUUCUCCUGAUCCCGCCUCUCAGCUGUCAGAGAUCUGACCCGGGGAACUGUGCACCCAGAACUACUGCUCCGGAUUUCGGAGGAGGUGGGAAAGGAGUCCUCUCACUGCCCCACAUUCCACGGCUUUGGAGAUUCCUCGAUGGCAUCCGCAUCCCUCUGUGAGCCAGGGUUGUACUAGGAAUGAUCACGGAUCAGGGAGGGGUAUCCUUUUCAUCCGCGGAGGAGAGAGGGACUCCCCGCACCCUACACCUGACUGCGGCGGGGUGUGUGCGUGUGUGUGCGCGUUUGUGUGCUCCUGCUCUAUGAGACUUUUCCCUCUUGUACCUUACAAACCACGCUGCCUUCUGGAGAAUGUACGUCUCAGCGGGUAACUGAUUCACAGAUCCACUGCAAGUCGUUACAGAGUCUCCUCCGCCUCAUCCAGUCCGAACGAGCGGCGAAGCCCGGGUUCAGCAGGCAGAGGCCGCGCCUCAGGGCUCUCCCCACCGCGCCCAGUGUCCGCCGCUCUCACCGCCCUUCUGGGCAGGCUCGGAACCACCAGAGCCUGCGGGACGCCCUUCGCCUCUCCCUCCACUCCAGGGACACUUGCAUAACGGGGAUCUAGAGCAACUCCUUCGCGUUGACCGCGGCUGCACGUUGCCGCGGCUCCGGCUUUCGCUGUCGCUCAGCAGAUCGUCCUCUGAGUCCUCGGGCAGCGACGAGGAGCCAGUAGAGGAGAGCGACGAGGUGGAGAGGCGGCGCGGCUGCUGCAGGUGUGAGGAGCCCACGGCCGGGAGCCAGCCACCCUCCGGCUCCGGUGGCCCCGGGCUGGUCGGGGGUGACCGGGAAGCUCAGACCUCGUGGACACAAAGUCAGGGCCUGGCCUUCGCAGCCUCUCUGUCCCCGCUCUCGAAGAGACCGGAGGGGUCGCUCCGCCCCCGGGCCCUACUGCCUUGGAGCUGGUCCUGCUCUCGCUCUCCUACCCAGUCCCUCCGGCUCCUUUCCACGAUCCAUCCUGGGCCAAGGAUUCCUGGUCUCCGGGCUUUCCUUCAGCAUGGAAUGCAAGGCCAUCAGCUUCCUGGGGAAGCCUCACCCCAGGGCGUGCGCCCAAGUGGGGACUCUGUCCUGGGCAAGACCUGAGGCUUCUUCCCCCCAAGCUCCCCACUUCUCAGCUGGCAGAGAACAAGGUCAGGGGGGCGGGGCCUGAAUCUCGCGGCGAGUCCUGGCGCAGUCCUGGGCAGCAUCCCUUGGCUACUGGCUGGCAGGGGCUGUGCCCUUCUGACUCCUUUUUCUGUGGAAUUCGGAGCGUGUAGUCUGCUGUGUGAUCCUAAGCAAGUCCUUUCACCUCCUUGAACUGUUGAUUCUUUUCCGCAGGGUUGUCGUCUACCUCACAGAAUUGCUAGGAGAAUAAAAUAAAAUGAAAGAUGUAAAAUCUAUACAAUAUGAGAAUAGUUUUAGUGUGGGUGGUAGGAAGAGCCAGUCUCAGGUUCAUCACACUCUAGAUGUGAUCUUUGACGUCUCUUCCCUUUGUAAAUUUAGGGAAACCUCACCUGACCCAGAGUUGUGGCUGUGACAGGGUAAGAGAGCCACGACGCUGGCUCAUCCAUGGCAUCGUGGUGCAGUAUUUGGCCACUUCACAAGUUAGUGGUCCGCUGAACUGCAGGGCUGCUUUAUGUAGAGUUUGUAUUUCACAGCAUUUCUUGUCUUCCCCCAAAAUGCCACCGGGGAGGAUCCCUCCUCAGGUGCCUCGUGCCUCAGGAUUGUUGGGGACCCUGUGGGGCAGGAUGCCCCAGAAGGAUUGCCUCUGAUGCUGAUGAAGGCCAAAAGAAGCUCUCCUUCCCCUCAUCUCCCUUCAGCUAGAUUCAAGGAUGGCCCAGGAGGAGACAAAAGGAGGGUUCAGAGAGAGAAAAUGGGAAGCUUCAGCAGAGCAAAAAGGAGAAGGUCCUGGGGGAAUUGAUGAAGAAAGUAAAAGUGUGGAAGGAUGAGUGGAGGGGAAGGAGACAAAGGAGGAAAUACAGGAGUUUGACUAUUCAGAGAACCUGGGAAAUCACAUGGCUACUUUCUGUGGGCACAGAGAUCUAGAGGAGCCAGGGUGUGUGUGAAGGGCGUACUCUAGAGCUUGAUGGCUCAAAAGCCAUGUCUCCUGCACUCACUUCCCUCUUUCAGGGCUACCUUGGUCUCUGGUGGGACUGGUACUGCCCUCAGGGUAGGGGCAGGCUGGGGGCAAACCCGGGAUGGGGAGGGUCAACAAGGACUCGCCAGAACUGAAAAGGUGGGAGGGAAAUGAGAGGAGGGAACAUGCACUGUGCACCUGUUACUGUUUGUGAGAUAUAUAUAUAUAUAUAUAUAUAUAUAUAUAUAUAUAUAUAUAUAUAUAUAUAUAAACGACAAUGUUGGAAGCACAAGCAAGCCAGGAGCUGGCUGCCAAGAGAAAACUCAAGGGCAAUUCUUUUUUUUCUUCUAUUAGGCACUUGUCCUAAGCCCAGAAACCAAAGAAGAGCUCUUUGCCAUAUUUUCCAAGUAUCCCUCAGUGGAAAGAACACCAGACCAGAUAUGGGAGCAACAACAAAAGGACAAAACUGGAAACCGAGAAAGACGAACACCUGUGGAGCAGAAUCUAUGGGAUGGGGAGGGAUAAGAAGGGCAGAAGACUGCUGCUUUUCACUAUAAAUCAAUACGUCUUAUGGGUCUAUGUGUGCACACAAACACGUGGAUGUGAAGAGUACAUGUUACUUCAAUAAUUAAAAAAAUUAACUGGAGCAAGAUGUAUAGAAGAUUUCAUAUCAUUUUAUUAAUUAAAAUGGUAUUCAGUGAUCCAAAUAAAGUUGUUUACUCACCACAAGGGCCUUCUCAGACUCUACGAUGUUCCACUCCCGGUUCCGCUGGUUGAUGUAACUGUGGGUGAGUAAAAGUGUGAGUCAGUCGGUUGGGGAAGGAGGGAGGGAACCACUGAGCCUUGACCCCUGACCCCGGAGCCUCAUCCAGCCAGUGCAAGCACAGCAUGUGCAAGGCCACGGGCUCACCUGAUAACUGUGGCAAGGUCUGUGGGUCCGGGAAAGGAGCCCAACCAAAACAG